GCGUCGGUAGUGCAACUGUUAAAAGCACGUGCCUCCGGAGAGGGUGAAUCGCGGGUUCGAGUCCCGCCUGACGCC
Non-coding RNA from Parelaphostrongylus tenuis, 75 nucleotides. NCBI's taxonomy places the organism in Eukaryota, Metazoa, Nematoda, Chromadorea, Rhabditida, Metastrongylidae. The record is from the annotation of a GenBank genome assembly.